GGGCUUGUGGUUUAGUGGUAUAAUUUUCCCUUAGCAUAUCAGCUGUGCUUCCACCAGUGCUUGAUUUCGUGGGAAAGGUCCUGGGUUCGAUUCCCAGCAAGUCCA
This is a non-coding RNA of Bimuria novae-zelandiae CBS 107.79, 105 nucleotides long. Lineage: Eukaryota; Fungi; Ascomycota; Dothideomycetes; Pleosporales; Didymosphaeriaceae. The record is from the annotation of a GenBank genome assembly.